GACAGAGGUGCCAAGCGUUAGGCGGAAUCACUGGGCUUAAAGCGUGUGUAGGCGGAAUGGUAAGUACCUUGUGAAAUCCCAUAGCUCAACUAUGGAACUGCUUGGUAUACUGCUUUUCUUGAGCCACUUAGGGGCUACCGGAACAAAUGGUGGAGCGGUGAAAUGCGUAGAUAUCAUUUGGAACGCCAAUGGUGAAAACAGGUAGCUGGGAGUGUGCUGACGCUGAGACACGAAAGCGUGGGGAGCGAACAGG
This 253-nucleotide ribosomal RNA is filed under the name uncultured bacterium. RNAcentral describes it as "partial 16S ribosomal RNA". It matches the Rfam family "Bacterial small subunit ribosomal RNA", at positions 524 to 776 of the family's 1533-position model. The record is from RNAcentral.